AGGGCACCACCAGGAGUGGAGCCUGCGGCUUAAUUUGACUCAACACGGGAAAACUCACCCGGCCCGGACACUGGAAGGAUUGACAGAUUGAGAGCUCUUUCUUGAUUCAGUGGGKGGKGGUGCAUGGCCGUUCUUAGUUGGUGGAGUGAUUUGUCUGGUUAAUUCCGAUAACGAACGAGACUCUAGCCUACUAAAUAGAUCGUCGGCUUACAAACGCCGGCGAGACUUCUUAGAGGGACAGGCGGUGAUUCAACCGCACGAAACARAGCAAUAACAGGUCUGUGAUGCCCUUAGAUGUCCGGGGCCGCACGCGCGCUACACUGAAGUGAUCAGCGUGCUUUUUCAACCUACUCUGUCAAGAGUGGGGAACCCAAUGAACCUUCUUCGUGAUUGGGAUAGGGGAUUGUAAUUGUUCCCCUUGAACGAGGAAUUCCCAGUAAGCGCGAGUCAUAAGCUCGCGUUGAUUACGUCCCUGCCCUUUGUACACACCGCCCGUCGCUACUACCGAUUGAAUGUUUU
This 519-nucleotide ribosomal RNA is filed under the name uncultured eukaryote. RNAcentral describes it as "SSU rRNA". It matches the Rfam family "Eukaryotic small subunit ribosomal RNA", at positions 1172 to 1719 of the family's 1831-position model. The record is from RNAcentral.